Molecule: ribosomal RNA, 398 nt
Filed under: uncultured bacterium
Lineage: Bacteria
Description: bacterial SSU rRNA
Rfam family: Bacterial small subunit ribosomal RNA
Source: RNAcentral
UUUUCCGCAAUGGGCGAAAGCCUGACGGAGCAAUGCCGCGUGACGGUAGAAGGCCUACGGGUCAUGAACUUCUUUUCCCGGAGAAGAAACAAUGACGGUAUCUGAGGCAUAAGCAACGGCUAACUCUGUGCCAGCAGCCGCGGUAAGACAGAGGAUGCAAGCGUUAUCCGGAAUGAUUGGGCGUAAAGCGUCUGUAGGUGGCUUUUCAAGUUCGCCGUCAAAUCCCAGGGCUUAACCCUGGACAGGCGGUGGAAACUACCAAGCUGGAGUACGGUAGGGGCAGAGGGAAUUUCCGGUGGAGCGGUGAAAUGCGUAGAGAUCGGAAAGAACACCGACGGCGAAAGCACUCUGCUGGGCCGACACUGACACUGAGAGACGAAAGCUAGGGGAGCGAAUGG